CUCAGGACGAACGCUGGCGGCGUGCCUAAUACAUGCAAGUCGAACGCUUCUUUUUCCACCGGAGCUUGCUCCACCGGAAAAAGAGGAGUGGCGAACGGGUGAGUAACACGUGGGUAACCUGCCCAUCAGAAGGGGAUAACACUUGGAAACAGGUGCUAAUACCGUAUAACAAUCGAAACCGCAUGGUUUUGAUUUGAAAGGCGCUUUCGGGUGUCGCUGAUGGAUGGACCCGCGGUGCAUUAGCUAGUUGGUGAGGUAACGGCUCACCAAGGCGACGAUGCAUAGCCGACCUGAGAGGGUGAUCGGCCACAUUGGGACUGAGACACGGCCCAAACUCCUACGGGAGGCAGCAGUAGGGAAUCUUCGGCAAUGGACGAAAGUCUGACCGAGCAACGCCGCGUGAGUGAAGAAGGUUUUCGGAUCGUAAAACUCUGUUGUUAGAGAAGAACAAGGAUGAGAGUAACUGUUCAUCCCUUGACGGUAUCUAACCAGAAAGCCACGGCUAACUACGUGCCAGCAGCCGCGGUAAUACGUAGGUGGCAAGCGUUGUCCGGAUUUAUUGGGCGUAAAGCGAGCGCAGGCGGUUUCUUAAGUCUGAUGUGAAAGCCCCCGGCUCAACCGGGGAGGGUCAUUGGAAACUGGGAGACUUGAGUGCAGAAGAGGAGAGUGGAAUUCCAUGUGUAGCGGUGAAAUGCGUAGAUAUAUGGAGGAACACCAGUGGCGAAGGCGGCUCUCUGGUCUGUAACUGACGCUGAGGCUCGAAAGCGUGGGGAGCAAACAGGAUUAGAUACCCUGGUAGUCCACGCCGUAAACGAUGAGUGCUAAGUGUUGGAGGGUUUCCGCCCUUCAGUGCUGCAGCUAACGCAUUAAGCACUCCGCCUGGGGAGUACGACCGCAAGGUUGAAACUCAAAGGAAUUGACGGGGGCCCGCACAAGCGGUGGAGCAUGUGGUUUAAUUCGAAGCAACGCGAAGAACCUUACCAGGUCUUGACAUCCUUUGACCACUCUAGAGAUAGAGCUUCCCCUUCGGGGGCAAAGUGACGGGUGGUGCAUGGUUGUCGUCAGCUCGUGUCGUGAGAUGUUGGGUUAAGUCCCGCAACGAGCGCAACCCUUAUUGUUAGUUGCCAUCAUUUAGUUGGGCACUCUAGCAAGACUGCCGGUGACAAACCGGAGGAAGGUGGGGAUGACGUCAAAUCAUCAUGCCCCUUAUGACCUGGGCUACACACGUGCUACAAUGGGAAGUACAACGAGUCGCAAAGUCGCGAGGCUAAGCUAAUCUCUUAAAGCUUCUCUCAGUUCGGAUUGUAGGCUGCAACUCGCCUACAUGAAGCCGGAAUCGCUAGUAAUCGCGGAUCAGCACGCCGCGGUGAAUACGUUCCCGGGCCUUGCACUCACCGCCCGUCAA
This 1405-nucleotide ribosomal RNA is filed under the name uncultured bacterium. RNAcentral's name for it is "bacterial SSU rRNA". It matches the Rfam family "Bacterial small subunit ribosomal RNA", at positions 23 to 1400 of the family's 1533-position model. The record is from RNAcentral.